CAUCAGGUCUCCAAGGUGAA
RNAcentral lists this small nuclear RNA (20 nucleotides) under Arabidopsis thaliana (thale cress). RNAcentral describes it as "snRNA_18886". The record is from RNAcentral. Lineage: Eukaryota; Viridiplantae; Streptophyta; Magnoliopsida; Brassicales; Brassicaceae.